This 794-nucleotide long non-coding RNA is filed under the name Phasianus colchicus (ring-necked pheasant). RNAcentral describes it as "lncRNA (ENSPCLG00000015526.1)". The record is from RNAcentral. Lineage: Eukaryota; Metazoa; Chordata; Aves; Galliformes; Phasianidae.
UAUUGGCCCCAUAUCACCCCCAUAGACUCCUCAAAGCAUCCCCAUAGAGUCCCCAUAGCGACCCCAUAUUGGCCCUACAGCACCCCCAGAGAGUCCUCAAAGCAUCCCCAUGGUGUCCCCAUAGAGUCCCCAUAGAAUCCCUAUGGUUGUCUACAUGGUGACCCCACAGCAACCCCAUAGCGACCCCAUAUUGGCCCCAUAGCGUCCCCAUAGAGUCCUCAAAGCAUCCCCAUGGUGUCCCCAUAGUGGCCCCAUAGAGUCCCCUUGGUAUCCCCAUACAGUCCCCAUAGUGACCCAUAGAGUCCCCACAGAGUCCCCAUGGUUGUCUAAAUGGUGACCCCAUAGUGAUCCCAAAGCGUCCCCAUAAUGUCCCCAUGCUGUCCCCAUAGUGACCCCAUGCCGUCCCCCCGCCCCCCCACUCACCGGCGAGCAGCGGCUGGGCGCAGCCGGCAGGAUGGGCCGCGCGAAGCGGCGCUGGGAGCCGACGGCGGCGGGGAACGGCGGCGAGGAGAGCAGGGCGGCCGCCAGGUUGAGGCGGGAGAUCCAGGCCGUCAUGUCCGCCUCGCUCCUGGGGGGGCACGGCUCAGCGCCCGCGGCCCCACACAGCCCCACGGCCGCCAUCUUGGGCCCCACCUUGCCAGUGGCGGCCAUCUUGCCCCCCCACCACCUCGCCCCAUGGCAGCCAUCUUGCCCCACAGUGGCCAUCUUGCCCCCCCACCAGCUUGCCCCCAUGGCAGCCAUCUUGCCCCCCAGCUUGCCCCCAUGGCGGCCGUCUUGCCCCACAGCAGCCAUCU